CUACGGGUGGCUGCAGUGGGGAAUAUUGGGCAAUGGGCGCAAGCCUGACCCAGCAACGCCGCGUGAGGGAUGAAGGUUUUCGGAUCGUAAACCUCUGUCAGGAGGGAAGAAGUGGAAGGUGGUUAAUACCUGCCUUUUUUGACGGUACCUCCAGAGGGAGCACCGGCUAACUCCGUGCCAGCAGCCGCGGUAAUACGGGAGGGUGCGAGCGGUAUUCGGAAUUACUGGGCGUAAAGCGCGCGUAGGCGGCAAGGUAAAUCAGAUGUGAAAGCCCACGGCCCAACCGUGGAACUGCAUUUGAAACUGCUUAGCUGGAGUACGGGAGAGGAUAGCGGAAUUCCCGGUGUAGGAGUGAAAUCCGUAGAUAUCGGGAGGAACACCAGUGGCGAAGGCGGCUAUCUGGCCCGUAACUGACGCUGAGGUGCGAAAGCGUGGGGAGCAAACAGGAUUAGAUACCCUAGUAGUC
Molecule: ribosomal RNA, 466 nt
Filed under: uncultured bacterium
Lineage: Bacteria
Description: partial 16S ribosomal RNA
Rfam family: Bacterial small subunit ribosomal RNA
Source: RNAcentral